Molecule: ribosomal RNA, 329 nt
Filed under: uncultured eukaryote
Lineage: Eukaryota
Description: partial 18S ribosomal RNA
Rfam family: Eukaryotic small subunit ribosomal RNA
Source: RNAcentral
CCCUUAGAUGUCCUGGGCCGCACGCGCGCUACACUGAGUGUCUGAGAUACGAGUCUGCCUGGUCCGGCAAGGUCUAGGUAAUCGCUAAAAGACACAUCAUGCUUGGGAUAGAUUAUUGCAAAUAUUGAUCUUGAACGAGGAAUUCCUAGUAAGCGCAAGUCAACAGCUUGCGUUGAUUACGUCCCUGCCCUUUGUACACACCGCCCGUCGCUACUACUGAUUGGAUGUUUAAGCGAGGUUCUCGAACUGCUAGCGACUUAGCUUCGGUGAGGUUGCAGUGUGGGAAGUGAACCUAGCUUUGGUGUCUAGAGGAAGUAAAAGUCGUAACA